This 4373-nucleotide long non-coding RNA is filed under the name Homo sapiens (human). The record is from RNAcentral. Lineage: Eukaryota; Metazoa; Chordata; Mammalia; Primates; Hominidae.
AAUCUGAUCUCUCUUGCUUUUCCCCACAGGGUCAAGGUCACCUUGUUCCCUUUUUAUCUCCUUCACUGCACUUGGAGAAGAGAGGAUCUGCAAACAAUUCUACAGCCCAGAGGGAGGAAAACGGCUGAGAGCCAGGCGCCUUGGGAAAAGGCAGCAGAGAGCCCCACUGGCUGAAGAUGCUCAGUCUCUCACCAUGACCAGUGUGUCCACCUGCCCCGGUGCCAUAUCCCAGAGUUACCAUGUUCUUACACAGAGGAAAGAACAGCCUCUGUCCAGGGGAGGCACAGCCCCUGUCUCGGGGAGCUUCACCCAAAGGCCAGGCCCCCAGGAGAGGGCCAGAACCCUUGGUGUCCCAGGCCCGAGGUUCUUCAAUAAGGUUAUUUAACAGAUCUGGUGGCUAGAGACUCCCGUGGGAGACUUCAGCCCCAUGAGGAAGCGCUGUUUUCCUCAGGCAAACUAUGGUUGAGAAACAGGAGCUUUCUGGAGACAUUAUUCUUCAAAGGGUUUCUCACAGCCCUGUGUCCCAGGCUCCUGGCCAGAGGUGGAAAGGAGAGGGAGUGAGUGAUGGGGAGCAUGGUGUAGGGCACCACACAGAAGGCAGGAAGGAGAGGAGGGUCAGCAGUGCCACCAGACUGAGCCCCAAAUGAGGGGGAGUCCAGGAGAGGAGGCUUGCACAACCCACCACCUUGGGGUAGUUACAGUGCCACCCAGGUUUAUUUUUCCAACUGAGGGCACACUGAAAGGAGGGUACAUUGAAAAGUAUGGGCAUAGGGGAACUCAAGUCCCCUGGGCUGGGCUGUGGCCUCUUUAGAAGCACCUACAGCCUCAGCAAGGCCGGGAACAGGGAACUACUGAGGCUGAAAAAAACUUCAGUCUCAAUAAGUCUGCCCCCAGUCCCUGGUAACGCUCAGGCUUUGCAGCCAAAUGCAGAUUAAAGCUGCCUCUACCACAUGUAAGCUGCAUUCACUGAUUCAUUCUACAAUUAAAAAAAUCUUUUUGUUUUUGAGAAAGGGUCUGGCUCUGUCAUCCAGGCGGAAGUGCAGUGGUGUGAUCAUGGUUCACUGCGGCCUCAACCUCCUGGGCCCAAGCAGUCCUCCCACCUUAGCCUCCAGAGUAGCUGGGACCACAAACACACCACCGUGCCUGGCUAAUUUUUUAUUAUUAUUAUUUUUUGUAGAGACAGGGUCUUGCUACUUCACCUAAGCUGGUCUCAAACUCCUGGGCUCAAGCAAUCCCUGGUCUCAGCCUUUCAAAGUGCUGGGAUUACAAGCAUGAGCCACUGCACCCAGCCCCCUACAAAUUUGUUUUGUUUUGUUUUUCUUUUUCCAUCAUCUUCUUUGUGAUAGUAAACAAAUAUUUUUAGCUUCUGCUAUGUGCCAGGCCCUGAGCUAGGUGCUGGGGGUACAGAAAACAACAAAGUAGGCCGGGCGCGGUGGUUCAUGCCUGUAAUCCCAGCACUUUGGGAGGCCGAGGCGGGCGGAUCACCUGAGAUUGGGAGUUCAAGACCAACCUGACCAACAUGGAGAAAUCCCGUCUCUACUAAAAAUAGAAAAUUAGUCAGGUGUGGUGGUGCAUGCCUGUAAUCCCAGCUACUCGGGAGGCUGAGGCAGGAGAAUCGCUUGAACCCGGGAGGCAGAGGCUGCGGUGAGCCGAGAUCUUGCCAUUGCACUCCAGCCUGGGCAACAAGAGGAAAACUCUGUCUCAAAAAAAAUAAAAAAUAAAAGAACAGAGUACCUUUGAGGAACUUACCCCAUCGUCGGGGAGAUGGAAUGGUCACUAUAGAACACUAAGGUAAAUGUAGGUAGGGACAAUAACAUGCAUGGGUUAGUGUGGAGCACCUGUUCUGGGCCCCCUCUGGAGCAUCAUUCUGAGGAUGGCUCUCAGGGAAGCCUUCCUGGAAGAGGUAUAAUCAUUUGAAUUUAAAAAAACGAAUGGCAGUGAUCACUUCGGUAGCACAUAUACUAAAACUGGAAUGAUACAGAGAAGAUUAGCAUGGCCUCUGCACAAGGAUGACAUACAAAUUUGUGAAGGAUUCCAUAUUUUAAUAAGAAAAACAGGCCAGGCAUGGUGGCUCACGCCUGUAAUCUCAGCACUUUGGGAGGCCAAGGCGGGCGGAUCACCUGAGGUUGGGAGUUCUAUACCAGCCUGGCCAACAUGGCAAAAGCCCAUCUCUACUAAAAAUACACAAAAUUAGCCGGGCAUGGUGGCUCGUGCCUAUAAUCCCAGUUACUCAGGAUGCUGAGGCAAGAGAAUCACUUGAACUCAGGAGGCAGAAGUUGCAGUGAGCUGAGAUCAAACCACUGCACUCCAGUCUGGGUGACAGAGUGAGACUCUGUAUCAAAAAAAAAAAAAAAAAAAAAAAAGAAAUGGUCCCGGGAGAAACCAGUAGGAAAUAGGGGAAGCAGGAUAGGGAAGAGGAACAGUACAAAGCAGCUAGAUUUUGUUUUUUGGAGCGGAGUCUUGCUCUGUUGCCCAGGCUGGAGUGCAGUGGCAUGACCCAGUUCACUGCAGCCUCAAAAAUCCCAGGCUCAAGUGAUCCUCCCACCUUAGACUCCCAAGUAGCUAAUUUAAAAAAUAAUAAAAUAUAUAUAUAUAUAUAUAUCAGUAAUUACUAAAAAUUAGUAGUAAUUAUACUACUUUAAUAGUGUGCUAACAUCUUCCACUGUGUUGUGAAUUUACCUAUUUUUAUUUUACUUUCCUUACCUUUUUUUUGCUUUAUAUAUAUUUAAGUUGUGUUAUUAGGUGGGUAUAAAUGUAGGAUUGUUCUUUCUGAUGAUUUGGACCUUUUGUCAUUAUGAAGUGACCCUUUUAUCUCUCAUAAUGCUUUUGCCUUAAAGUCUAUGUGGACUAAAAUUAAUACAGACAUAUCAACCUUCUUUGGUUAGUAUUUGACAGAUUCUUUUCAUCCUCUUACUUUCAACCUUUCUGUAUUCUUAUGUUUUAUUUAGAUAUGCCCUUUUUUUUUUUUUUUUUUUUUUUUUGAUGGAUGGAGUCUUGCUCUGUCACCUGGGCUGGAGUGCAGUGGUGCGAUCUCAGCUCACUGCAACCUCCGCCUCCCAGGGUCAAGUGAUUCUCCUGCCUCAGCCUCCGGAGUAACUGGAAUUACAGGCACCUGCCAUCAUGCCUGGCUAGUUUUUACAUUUUUGUAGAGAUGGGGUUUCACCAUGUUGGCCAGGCCAGUCUCGAACUCCUGACAUCAGGUGAUCUCCCUGCCUCAGCCUCCCAAACUGCUGGGAUUACAGGCGUGAGCCACCAUGCCCGGCCUAGAUAUGCCUCUUGUGAACAGCUUAUAACUGGGUUCAUUUGCUUUGUCUAGUCUAGCAAUCUUUGUCUUUUAACUGAGGCAUUGAGUCCAUUUACAUUUAUUAAUAUACUGAUAUGUGCAUGUGUGCGCACACACGUUAUUUAUUUACGUAUAUCCUAUUGUUUGGUAUUUUCCCCACCUUUUCUAAGGUUUCCUUUUCUAUUCUUUUUGGCUUUCUUAAUUAUUCUUUAUUUCAUUUUUCUCCUUACAUAGUUUGCAAAUUAUACCUUUUUUUUUUUUUUGAGAGUUUCGCUCUGAGUCACCCAGGCUAAAGUGCAGGGUCACGAUCUUGGCUCACUGCAACUUCUGCCUCCCCAGUUCAAGAGAUUCUUGUGCCUCGCCCUCCAGAGUAGCUGGGACUACAGGCGCACCACCACUCCCAGCUAAUACUUGUAUUUUUAGUAGAGACGGAGUUUCACCACGUUGGCCAGGCUGGUCUCAAACUCCUGACCUCAAGUGAUCUGCCCAUCUCGGCCUCCCAAAGUGCUGCAAUUACGGGUGUGAGCCGCCAUGCUUGGCCUGUGUUUUUAAGCCCAUAAGACAUUGUUAUUAAUGUUAAUACAACAUUUGUUUAGACUUACCCACACAUGUACCAUUUUCUUUGUUCCAUAUUCCUUCUUGUCUCUCAUUUUUUCCAUCUAGGAUCACUUUUUAUUUCUGCCUGCUGGUGGCAAAUACAGUUUUUGUUUGUAUCAUGUCAUUGUUUUUUCUUACUUUUAAGAUAUCUUUUCACUGAUUUUAUAAUUCUUUUUAAAAAUUUUUAGUGCCAAUGAAUUCUUGCUUAUUGUUUGUACCUACAGUUGUGUCCUCCAGCUGCUGUGCCAGUUUAGACUACACCGUCACCUACCUCCUAAAGCACAUAGCAAAAGAGGGCAAGGGGGAUGGGCAUGGUGGCUCAACACUGGUAAUCCCAGCACUUUGGGAGUGGUAUUUUUCUCUUAAGAAUAGGGAAAUUAAGAUAGGCAUUUUUCUUUUCAGUCUGUUGGGAGGUAGUGGUGUUUAUAUCUAGCUCACACAUUCACUGAAGUCCCAAUUUUAGGUUUUUUAGACUUCCCACCUUAAAGGAGCC